GGCUUCGUAGCUCAGCUGGUAGAGCAUGCGCGUACAAAGCGUAGGCGGUGUCCAUGCGUGGGUUGGAAUCCCACCGAGGCUA
This 82-nucleotide transfer RNA is filed under the name Echinostoma caproni. It matches the Rfam family "tRNA". From Rfam's summary of the family: Transfer RNA (tRNA) molecules are approximately 80 nucleotides in length. Lineage: Eukaryota; Metazoa; Platyhelminthes; Trematoda; Plagiorchiida; Echinostomatidae. The record is from Rfam by way of RNAcentral.